ACUCCUGCGGGAGGCAGCAGUGGGGAAUUUUGGACAAUGGGCGAAAGCCUGAUCCAGCAAUGCCGCGUGAGUGAAGAAGGCCUUCGGGUUGUAAAGCUCUUUUGUCAGGGAAGAAACGGUGAGAGCUAAUAUCUUUUGCUAAUGACGGUACCUGAAGAAUAAGCACCGGCUAACUACGUGCCAGCAGCCGCGGUAAUACGUAGGGUGCAAGCGUUAAUCGGAAUUACUGGGCGUAAAGCGUGCGCAGGCGGUUUUGUAAGUCUGAUGUGAAAUCCCCGGGCUCAACCUGGGAAUUGCAUUGGAGACUGCAAGGCUAGAAUCUGGCAGAGGGGGGUAGAAUUCCACGUGUAGCAGUGAAAUGCGUAGAUAUGUGGAGGAACACCGAUGGCGAAGGCAGCCCCCUGGGUCAAGAUUGACGCUCAUGCACGAAAGCGUGGGGAGCAAACAGGAUUAGAAACCCGUGUAGUCCCAUGAU
RNAcentral lists this ribosomal RNA (475 nucleotides) under uncultured organism. RNAcentral describes it as "partial 16S ribosomal RNA". It matches the Rfam family "Bacterial small subunit ribosomal RNA", at positions 335 to 801 of the family's 1533-position model. The record is from RNAcentral.